GAGGACCUCCAGGACUGCCAGGAACUCCAGGUACCCCUGGUAUUAACGGCACUCCAGGAAGAGAUGGAAAGCCAGGACUACCAGGCCCUCCAGGUGAUCCAGUUGCACUUCCACUUGUGGGAGACAUGGGUGCUAUAUUGAAGGGUGAUCCUGGCACAAGAGGUCCUCCAGGCAUUCCUGGCAGAGAAGGACCAAAAGUAAGUUUUGAAGAGUGCUUUGUAAGUAAGUUUUUUUUCAUUGCUUUUGUUCUU
RNAcentral lists this long non-coding RNA (251 nucleotides) under Serinus canaria (Common canary). RNAcentral describes it as "lncRNA (ENSSCAG00000008096.1)". The record is from RNAcentral. Lineage: Eukaryota; Metazoa; Chordata; Aves; Passeriformes; Fringillidae.